RNAcentral lists this transfer RNA (57 nucleotides) under Marmota marmota marmota (Alpine marmot). It matches the Rfam family "tRNA", at positions 8 to 63 of the family's 71-position model. Rfam says of the family: Transfer RNA (tRNA) molecules are approximately 80 nucleotides in length. Their secondary structure includes four short double-helical elements and three loops (D, anti-codon, and T loops). RNAcentral also lists the same sequence under 2 other names. Lineage: Eukaryota; Metazoa; Chordata; Mammalia; Rodentia; Sciuridae. The record is from Rfam by way of RNAcentral.
UAGCUUAGUGUUAGAGUACUUACCUAACAAGUAUGAAGCCCUGGGUUCAAUCCCUAG